GCUGGAAUAGCUCAGCUGGCUAGAGCGUGUGGCUGUUGGUCGGAGGUUCAAGCCCUCCUUCUAGCG
Populus trichocarpa (black cottonwood) is the source of this 66-nucleotide non-coding RNA. Lineage: Eukaryota; Viridiplantae; Streptophyta; Magnoliopsida; Malpighiales; Salicaceae. The record is from Rfam.